UGGGGAAUAUUGGUCAAUGGGAGGAAUCCUGAACCAGCCAUGCCGCGUGCAGGACGACGGCUCUACGAGUUGUAAACUGCUUUUGUACCGGGGUAAAAUGCUCUACGAGUAGGGUUUUGAAAGUACGGUACGAAUAAGGAUCGGCUAACUCCGUGCCAGCAGCCGCGGUAAUACGGAGGAUCCGAGCGUUAUCCGGAUUCAUUGGGUUUAAAGGGUGCGUAGGUUGUUUUAUAAGUUAGCGGUGAAAUACCGAUGCUCAACAUCGGGGCUGCCGCUAAUACUGUAGGACUAGAGAUCGGAUGCAGCAGGCGGAAUGUGUAGUGUAGCGGUGAAAUGCAUAGAUAUUACACAGAACACCGAUUGCGAAGGCAGCCUGCUAGGCCGGAUCUGACACUGAUGCACGAAAGCGUGGGGAUCGAACAGGAUUAGAUACCC
Molecule: ribosomal RNA, 435 nt
Filed under: uncultured bacterium
Lineage: Bacteria
Description: bacterial SSU rRNA
Rfam family: Bacterial small subunit ribosomal RNA
Source: RNAcentral